CAGCAGCCACGGGAAUACCAGCAGCCCAAGUGGUGGUCGCGCUUAUUGGGCCUAAAGCGCUCGUAGCCUGGCCGGUAAGUUCCCCGUGAAAUCGGGUCGCCCAACGAUUCGGCUUGCGGGGAAUACUGUCGGUCUUGGGGCCGGGAGACGCCGAGGGUACUCCGGGGGUAGCGGUGAAAUGCUGUAAUCCUCGGGGGACUACCAGUGGCGAAGGCGCUCGGCGAUAACGGGCCUGACGGUGAGGGGCGAAAGCUGGGGGCGCGAACGGGAUUAGAUACCCCCGUAGUCCCUGUCUCUUAUA
Molecule: ribosomal RNA, 301 nt
Filed under: uncultured bacterium
Lineage: Bacteria
Description: partial 16S ribosomal RNA
Rfam family: Archaeal small subunit ribosomal RNA
Source: RNAcentral